AAACCAUGCAUCGGGCAUUUUCUCAGUAGCUCCUUCAAAUGCUCCCAUGCUUCGUAUAAUUUUUCAUCCUCUAAUUGUCUAAAUGAUAUAAUGUUUUUCCUCAACUU
This is a non-coding RNA of Gossypium hirsutum (cotton), 107 nucleotides long. The record is from Rfam. Lineage: Eukaryota; Viridiplantae; Streptophyta; Magnoliopsida; Malvales; Malvaceae.